Molecule: RNA transcript, 6121 nt
Organism: Procambarus clarkii (red swamp crayfish)
Lineage: Eukaryota; Metazoa; Arthropoda; Malacostraca; Decapoda; Cambaridae
Gene name: signal peptide peptidase-like 2B
Source: RefSeq, a predicted model, not a curated record
GGUCAGCUUUGUUCGGUUUAGCUGCCUUAUGAACCUUAAUAAGAAGCUUAUCGUAUGUAAUAAUUAAUUAGAUAUACAGUUCGUGUAAUUUGUCUGUUGUUGUGUAAUAUAUGAAGAUGCUUAGAUAGUUACCAUAAAAGAGUGCGUGUAGUAAGUGUGAGAGUGAGGGUGGUGUGUGGAGGGAACCGGACGCUGAGUGACAACAACAACAGUCAUGGCGAGGAGGCUGCUGCUGGCUUCUGUUGCCUCGCUUUUAUCAACACUUGUAACACACUGCCUGGCUCAGGGUAAGAUUGACUAUCCUGUUUCUGGGAUCCUUAAGAGCCGCUCAAAUGCUACCAGUGAUCACUCUGAGAAAUACUGCAUAAUCUUCUACAGGACUAUUAGCCAUCUAGCUGGAAAUGAAGACUCUGCUCUAUACUUACCUGUAUCUGAUGCCCUGGAGUGGGAUGUGUGUGAUGAGACAGAACUCCCACCAACAAGCAUUGAAAAUAGAUACAUCUUUGUCUCUUCAGAAAAUAAUUGUUCAGCUUUGGAGAGAGCCAGCCGAGUUCAGAGCUUGGGAGGUGCUGGUACCUUAAUUGUGAAGGAAAAACUACAAGCUCCAAAACAAAAUGACACAAACUACAACUUCACUCUUGCCUUCAUUCAGAACUCAAGUUAUGUCAAAAUCAUGGAAGGUGGAGAAAAAGUGACUGUUGGCCUGUAUUCCCCAGAGGAUUCCCCACUGCCCUUGAGUCUUGUCGUUAUUUGGUUCUUGGCUGUCUUCUCUGUUAGUGUUGGUGCUUUCUGGUCUGGGAAAAUACGCCACAAGUUAUAUAUGAGUGAGCAGUGUGGCCAUGAUGGUGAAGAUAAUCAAGAGGCUUACCAUGAGCCUGUCCUACCGCACGAAGAGACUUCCAUGAACCUAUCAGCUAAGAGCAUCCUUGGGUUUGUGGUGCUGAUGUGUACCAUGCUGCUCAGUCUCUACUUCUUUUACCAUAUUCUGGUGUUUGUGAUCAUUGGCAUGUUCUGCAUUGCAUCAGGCGCAGCUGUGUUUUGUUGUUUGCAGCCUCUCGUCUCGCGAAUUCCUUGUGGAACUUGCAGGACACCAUACUUCAACAUCUAUGUUGUCCGUGGAACGUUAGAGGUGCGACAGAUCUUAUUAUUGAUGUUUGCUUAUGGGCUGACCAUUGUGUGGGUGAUCAUGAGAAAAGAGCCAUGGGCUUGGAUACUUCAAGAUAUAUUAGGAAUUGCAUUCAGCAUCAAUGUACUUAGAUUGGUUCGGCUACCAAGCCUCAAGAUCUGCACCAUCUUACUGUGUGGUCUUGUCAUAUAUGAUAUAUUCUUCGUCUUCAUCACCCCAUACAUUACGUCGGAUGGGAAGAGCAUCAUGGUAGAAGUUGCCAAGGGUGGAGCAAGUCAAGAACAGCUUCCCAUGGUCCUCAAGGUUCCAAACUUUGCAUACGUAGAGAUUUCCAACAUCUGUCAGAUUAUGGAUAACUACAACCUCCUUGGCUUUGGUGACAUCCUCAUCCCAGGUCUUCUGGUGUCAUUUGUCCACUCAUUUGAUCUCCAAGUUGGAACUCCCUGUCGUCUCUAUUAUCUUGUGAAUGUAAUAGGUUAUGGAACAGGAUUGGUGGUGACAUUCAUUGCGUUAUGGUUGUUGAAUGGGGCCCAGCCAGCUCUGCUGUAUUUGGUACCAUUUACACUCAUUCCCACAUACUUUGUUGCUGCCAUUAGAGGCGAGGUUGUGGCCAUGUGGCAUGGAGACUCUGAUAAGGUUGAGAUCCAGGUUAUUGAGGGGAAGUUCUCACCCAAGGUAGUAUCCAAUAAUGCGUAAGCUUUGUUAAGUGACCCCCCUGUUUCACCUUGACCUUGUUUGACCUUCCGCAUAUAGUUUGAGAGUGAGAGAGAAGGCGACAUGGAUUCUGCCGAAGAGAAUGUCCCAAAUGGUGCAGCACAAGUUGUCACCUGAUUUUCAUGCAUACAAGCUCCAAGUCCACUCCGUCAUGAGCCUCCAAUCAAUUCCAAGAUCAUGUAUCAACAUCCACCUGACCAGGUGGAAAAGGAACAGUAGGAAAAAUGUCUUUCUACUAGAUUCAUGCUGAUCAGUUUUAAUCAAAGGGGUUAUUAUUGGGGAAUUAUUUUGAGAGAAUUAGACAUUCUUGUAGUUUAGCUCCUUAGGACAUACCCCUGAAUCAAGUGGUCAGCUGUACUAAACUAACAGCUGUACAUGCAAAUUUUACCAUUUUCUAUUUGUGAACUCAUUCAUUUAUUUAAAGUUGCCUUCCAAGCUGUAGAAGGCAACAAGAGGCCUAGCAUAGCAGCCACUGAAUUAAUAAUUGUAUAAAGUAAUAGGCAAACAUAAACAUCACCAUACAUGUUUCAUUCAUCUUUAAAAAUUCAUUUGUUCCUUCAUCUCACUAGAAAAGGUUUAGAGGAGGGAAUAAGUAGGUUUUUCAGAUGUGUUUGAUUGAUCUACAGAAGACUACAUGUCAAACUUUUUAGCACAAGCCUUAUGCAGGAAUUUUAACCUAGAGAAUUAUUAAGAUAUAUUUUGUAUGUCUUAUGUUUGAGAGCAGAGUAUUAUACAAGAUUAUGACUGAGACAUGCCAUGCUGAGAAAAUUUUUAAUAUAGUGUCAAAAUUUUAGUUUAGCUCAUUUAUUAUGCACCCAAUACCCAUCCUAUGGGCAGUAGUGGAAAGGGUUACAGGGACACAUAAUAGGCUCAGGGACUCUACCCCAAAAUUCAUUUAGCUAAGCAAGCUACAGUCUUGAUAUGCUAGCUAAAAAAAAGUAAUGUAUAUUAUUAUAUAAAUAAUUGGUUCGAGAUCAGCCACAAGUACAGUCUCUAAGCUAAGGAGCUUGCAUAUGUGGUGAGCUUGUGUCAUCAUUGAUAUGAUUGUUCAUGAUCGCCAACCUGUGUCCAAGUGAGGAUCACUGGAAGGGUAACACUCACCCACAUUUACUACCUACAGGUAGCAAACUGGGGAUACUAUUUGGCUAAAAUUUCUGGUAGAUCAUUUUUAAUGAAAUAUUUAUACAUUUCAUGAACACUUGUUAUAGAGCUGUCUCCAAAUUCACGUAUUGUUCUGCACUGCAUCACAUAGUGACGGAAGGUGUGCGAAUAAUUAUGCUGACGCAGUUUGCAUUUUGUCUUUUAGAUAUUUUUCAUCAGCAGGUAAUGCAAAUUCCCAGAUAUAUUUAUAGCCGAGUCUAAGCCGGGCAAUAGUAACAUCUAGUAAUCUGCUGAUUUUAUUGGAUGAUCCAUAAAUGUGUGGCUUUUUUUGCAUGAUAGUAUGAUGAUAGAUGGAAUUACUAGUGUAGAUUUCACGUUACUCUAGAUCUACAAGAUUUUGUUGAAGUUCUUUGUGUAUUAUUGUUCUCAAAUGGCUUAUUUGCAAUCCAAGGUUAUAAUCAACUUCUUUGAAGGCAGAUUCUUUGGCUAACUCAUCAUCUCUAUAAUGCAUUCAGAGGCCAACAUGAGGUGGAAUGUCAAAGCAAUGCUCAUUUCUUAAAAACUUGAGGCACAUCAGUCGUGUCUUCUUUAACUGAGAAGGUAAAAUAAAGGACUCGUUCAUUAAGACAGGACUUCUCUGUGUCUCAGGUAAUUAUGCUGUGAUACAGUGAGUAAUCUUGAUUGUGGUUCAUACAUUUCUCAUUUUACCUUGUAAUUUACACUGCCAUGUGCCACCUCCUUAUAAGCCAUGUAUGACACAAAGUAACACAAAGAUGAGAAGCAGACUUUAUUUGUAGAUAACUUUUUGCCUGAGAGAGAUUUAUAAAAUCUAAUAUAGAGAACUAGUAUUUAUGAAGAGUAAAAGGUUGGCGAGGUGAUGUCCGUGAGAUGAUAGACAUGAAGAAUUUAUUGUACACUAUUGACUUUUCCUUCAAUUCUGUCAGUUGAAUUUUCAAUGAAUUUCCUUCAUUCUGUCCAAUUUUGUAUCAUUUAAUGGCAAUAAUGCCAUUGAGUACAUUAAUAACAAGUUCAACAGUGAUACACUUGUUAAGUUAAUAAAUUCACUGACAUCGCAUUGUCUUGCUUCUUUUUUCUUUUUGUGUCUGUUAUAUGUGAUAAAGAGUCCCAACAGGUGAAAUAUCUAUACAAAUAAGUUUGCUCUCAUCUUGGUGUUUAGCUUGAAUCUACAGCAUUGUCAGCACUUUGUGCUCUCUUCAACCACAUAUAGAACUUUGCAUAAUGAUUUAAUGGUUCUUAAUGAAUGACGGAAGAUCAGUACAGUACAGUACUUACUAUUCUCUGAUGAGGUGGUGGUGUAUUUCCACAUUAAGCACAGAGGAUUAUUCACUCAUACUUGUUAGGUUAAUACAUAAGCAAAAUAGUGUCCUCCAUGGAGUAUGGAAAGAAAGAACAUUGUUGUGUUUACUUAUUUAUAGAGUGUGGCUUCACAAAGUGUGUGUACCAGGAAAACAUUUGCAUACUGCCAGUUUUAAAAUAACCAUCUUUUAUGUGCAUUUGGUGACUGAAUAUUAAUGCAUAAUAAAAAAGUACAGUACAGUGCUCUAUUUAAUUCUUUUAGAUGAAUUAGUGCCAGAGCAAUGAAUAUUUUAUGGAUGCAGUAGUUUUAAUUGACCUUCUUUGAAAUAGUAUUAUCAGUGAUAUUAAAAUGUAUGCUCUCUCUUUUUAUACAAAUUAUUUUCUUUAUAUGCAUUAUAUUUAAUUUUAAAUAUAAUGCAUACUUUAUACUGCUUGACCAAAACAAAUGAAAGCUAUCGUUUUAAAAGUUUUUACAGAAACAAAAUAUACAUAAAAAGCUCACACAAAAUUACUAACAUAUGGAAUUCAUGUACUGUACUUAAUUGCAAAAAUAUAAGUACUAUUCCAUAACACCCAUUAAAUGUUUUACUUCAUUUUUCAAACAUAUGAAUCUUUGAAACCAACUGAACUUGACAGUGUCUUGGAUAUUUUUGUAUAAGGCUUUUAUCUUCGCUGUGGUUUUCACACAAAAAUUAUUUGCAAUCCAAGGUUAAACACAAGUUUGUUGUAGAACUAGUGACUUCUGUUGUCCAUGUCAGUCUUAUUGAACAUUUCCAUUGUGUUGAACAUAAUUAAGGCGUUGCUAGUUUGUGCUGAAAUGUUAAAAUAAAGUGGCAUUGUAAACUAUUGUUGUUUUCGUAACAUGGUGGUGUACAGCACUCUUUUGUGUAAUGUGGUGUACAUCACCGUAGUUUUAGUAACACAGUGGUGGUGUACAUCACUGUUAUUUUUGUAAUGUGGUGGUGUACAUCACUGUUGUUUUUGUAAUGUGGUGGUGUACAUCACUGUUUUGAGUAAUGUGGUAGUGUACAUCACUUGUUUUGUAACAUGGUGGUGGUGUACAUGAAUGUGUAACAUAGUGGUGUACGUCACUUGUUUUUGUAACAAGGUGGUGGCGUACAUCACUGUAGCUUGUAAAAUAGUGGUGUUGCACAUCACUGUUUUUUAAUUAUUGCUAUGAAAUACAAACACUGCAGUUUUUUUAUGUAUUGCUACAUUAUUCAUCACUGUACAGUGGCAAUAUGAGAAUUAUGGCUUGGACUGUGUAUACUGCUGUGUGUAUGCAGUUGAUCCUCAGAAUAUUACAUUGCCAACAAUUUAAAUGGUCAGUAAUUCCUGAAGGUUGUUGAGGGACUCACAUUUCCUGUGUUUGGGCAUUUAGUGAUAAUCCACCCUGAACUAUGAUUAAUUUUAUUCAUUGGUUUUGUUAUACUGUAAUUUGUUAUCUCUUGUGCCUGUCUCUUUGUGAAUUUGAAUUAGGGUGUGAAAUGGUAUCCACAGAUGUUUUAGUGUAUUUAUAAUGUUCUUUGGUGGUGGGACAUACCAUGUCAAUGAAAGAGAAUACUUAUUGGAACAGUUUUGAGGUGUACGAGUCCAAUUGGGGGAUUUGAAAUUAUUUUUGACUACGAUGUAAUAUUCCUUAUUUCUUUGGUGCCAGAAACCAUGAGACUAUGCUGAAUAAGGUUGGGGAUUCAAAUGAAUUUUUUCACACAUAAAGUAAUUAAACUAGUUAGCAAUCAAAGUUCCAUGUAAAUUUGUAAGAUGUGAAUUUUUUAAAUUUUUGGCUCUGUUAUUGCUUGAGAGUUAUAUUUGAAAUAUAUGUUCACUGCUAUACAUCCAAGUGUAAUAAAUAUUUUGAUACAG